Triticum dicoccoides is the source of this 393-nucleotide long non-coding RNA. RefSeq lists it as uncharacterized. NCBI's taxonomy places the organism in Eukaryota, Viridiplantae, Streptophyta, Magnoliopsida, Poales, Poaceae. The transcript is spliced from 3 exons. The record is from RefSeq and is a predicted model, not a curated record.
UUAAUGAGUCUGUUGCUGAAAAGGACAAUUCACCACAACUUGGCAGUUCCAUGGAGAAAGAUAACUUACCAUUGCCUGACAGACCUCCGAUGCAAAAAGGCCCCAACCAUCUGUGCCUGUCGAUGCUCGAAGCAAUCCGAGCAAGUGGGGCAGAUAGAAGUAGAAACAUCGCCUGGUAGGCAAGGCAUCUUUUGGAGACCCAAGAAUUUUUGUUAACGUUGCUGUAAAUGGACGGUUUCUUAUUAGUAUGCCUGUACGAGCGAUUCCUGUGCUUGAGCUUCGGCUCGUGGGCACUUACCGCCACAUCACUUGGUUGCUUAUGGGCAACAAUGACAGCUAUCACAAUCAUGUUGCUGUCCAUCCGGACUAUCAGGCUACUUGGCUAGAAGCUGU